RNAcentral lists this ribosomal RNA (251 nucleotides) under uncultured bacterium. Its description in RNAcentral is "partial 16S ribosomal RNA". It matches the Rfam family "Bacterial small subunit ribosomal RNA", at positions 526 to 776 of the family's 1533-position model. The record is from RNAcentral.
CGUAGGGUGCGAGCGUUAAUCGGAAUUACUGGGCGUAAAGCGUGCGCAGGCGGUAAGUUAAGUCCGAUGUGAAAGCCCCGGGCUCAACCUGGGAAUGGCAUUGGAAACUGGCUUGCUGGAGUGUGGCAGAGGGGGGUGGAAUUCCGCGUGUAGCAGUGAAAUGCGUAGAGAUGCGGAGGAACACCGAUGGCGAAGGCAGCCCCCUGGGCCAACACUGACGCUCAGGCACGAAAGCGUGGGGAGCAAACAGG